AAUCUUCAGGGCAGGGUGAAAGUCCCUACCGGUGGUCACAGUCCACGACUCCCUCCUCGCGGGGGACUGAAUCGGUGAAAUUCCGAUACCGACGGUCAGAGUCCGGAUGGAAGAAGAUA
Molecule: non-coding RNA, 119 nt
Filed under: uncultured Alistipes sp.
Lineage: Bacteria; Pseudomonadati; Bacteroidota; Bacteroidia; Bacteroidales; Rikenellaceae
Description: FMN riboswitch (RFN element)
Rfam family: FMN riboswitch aptamer (RFN element)
About the family: The RFN element is a highly conserved domain that is found frequently in the 5'-untranslated regions of prokaryotic mRNAs that encode for flavin mononucleotide (FMN) biosynthesis and transport proteins.
Source: RNAcentral